CCUACGGGUGGCAGCAGUGGGGAAUAUUGGACAAUGGGCGAAAGCCUGAUCCAGCCAUGCCGCGUGUGUGAAGAAGGCCUUCGGGUUGUAAAGCACUUUCAGUGGGGAAGAAAGCCUUGGGGCUAAUACCCUCGAGGAAGGACAUCACCCACAGAAGAAGCACCGGCUAACUCCGUGCCAGCAGCCGCGGUAAUACGGAGGGUGCGAGCGUUAAUCGGAAUUACUGGGCGUAAAGCGCGCGUAGGCGGUCUGAUAAGCCGGUUGUGAAAGCCCCGGGCUCAACCUGGGAACGGCAUCCGGAACUGUCAGGCUAGAGUGCAGGAGAGGAAGGUAGAAUUCCCGAUGUAGCGGUGAAAUGCGUAGAGAUCGGGAGGAAUACCAGUGGCGAAGGCGGCCUUCUGGACUGACACUGACGCUGAGGUGCGAAAGCGUGGGUAGCAAACAGGAUUAGAUACCCUAGUAGUC
Molecule: ribosomal RNA, 465 nt
Filed under: Vreelandella stevensii
Lineage: Bacteria; Pseudomonadati; Pseudomonadota; Gammaproteobacteria; Oceanospirillales; Halomonadaceae
Description: partial 16S ribosomal RNA
Rfam family: Bacterial small subunit ribosomal RNA
Source: RNAcentral